GACGAACGCUGGCGGCGUGCUUAACACAUGCAAGUCGAACGGAAAGGCCCCUUUGGGGGUACUUGAGUGGCGAACGGGUGAGUAACACGUGAGUAACCUGCCCUCGACUUCGGGAUAACUUCAGGAAACUGGGGCUAAUACAUGAUAGGAAGCCUUGCUGCAUGGUGGGGGUUGGAAAGCUUCGGCGGUUUUGGAUGGACUCACGGCUUAUCAGCUUGUUGGUGGGGUAGUGGGUUACUAAGGCUUUGACGGGUAGCCGGCCUGGGAGGGGGACCGGCCACAUUGGGACUGAGAUACGGCCCAGACUCCUACGGGGGGCAGCAGUGGGGAAUAUUGCACAAUGGGCGGAAGCCUGAUGCAACAACGCCGCGUGCGGGAUGACGGCCUUCGGGUUGUAAACCGCUUUCAGCAGGGGCGAAGCUUGUGGUGACGGUACCUGCAGAAGAAGCACCGGCUAACUACGUG
This 465-nucleotide ribosomal RNA is filed under the name uncultured bacterium. Its description in RNAcentral is "partial 16S ribosomal RNA". It matches the Rfam family "Bacterial small subunit ribosomal RNA", at positions 28 to 507 of the family's 1533-position model. The record is from RNAcentral.